Non-coding RNA from Triticum aestivum (bread wheat), 135 nucleotides. Lineage: Eukaryota; Viridiplantae; Streptophyta; Magnoliopsida; Poales; Poaceae. The record is from Rfam.
AUUGUACUCCCUCCGUCCCAAAAUUAUUGUCUUAGAUUUGUCUAAAUAUGAAUGUAUCUAGUUACAUUUUAGUGUUAGAUACAUCCAUAUCUAGACAAAUCUAAGAUAAGAAUUUUCGAACGGAGGAAGUAUUAA